Molecule: transfer RNA, 69 nt
Filed under: Bradypus variegatus (Brown-throated sloth)
Lineage: Eukaryota; Metazoa; Chordata; Mammalia; Pilosa; Bradypodidae
Description: tRNA-Met
Source: RNAcentral
AGUAAGGUCAGCUAAUUAAGCUAUCGGCCCCAUACCCCGAAAAUGUUGGUUCAUACCGGUCCCAUACUA